This 253-nucleotide ribosomal RNA is filed under the name uncultured prokaryote. RNAcentral describes it as "partial 16S ribosomal RNA". It matches the Rfam family "Bacterial small subunit ribosomal RNA", at positions 523 to 775 of the family's 1533-position model. The record is from RNAcentral.
AUACGUAGGGUGCGAGCAUUAAUCGGAAUUACUGGGCGUAAAGCGUGCGCAGGCGGUCUUGCAGGCUGGGUGUGAAAGCCCCGGGCUCAACCUGGGAGGUGCAUUCAGGACUGCGAGGCUGGAGUGCGGCAGAGGGAGGUGGAAUUCCACGUGUAGCAGUGAAAUGCGUAGAGAUGUGGAGGAACACCGAUGGCGAAGGCAGCCUCCUGGGCCGACUCUGACGCUCAUGCACGAAAGCGUGGGGAGCAAACAG